This 132-nucleotide small RNA is filed under the name Escherichia coli. RNAcentral describes it as "RtT sRNA". It matches the Rfam family "RtT RNA". Rfam says of the family: This family represents a bacterial cis-regulatory element known as RtT RNA. The exact function of RtT is unknown although it is thought that it may be involved in changing the cellular response in relation to amino acid starvation. Lineage: Bacteria; Pseudomonadati; Pseudomonadota; Gammaproteobacteria; Enterobacterales; Enterobacteriaceae. The record is from RNAcentral.
AUUCUGCCCAUGCAGGGAAGGAUGAGAAGCUUCGACCAAGGUUCGACUCGAGCGCCAGCGAGAGAGCGUUGCCGCAGGCAACGACCCGUAGGGCGAAGCGCGCAGCGCUGAGUAAUCCUUCCCCCACCACCA